CGGAAAUAUUCUCAAUUUUGGAGUCCAAAUAAAUGCUUAUAUAACAUAUGUUCGCAAUGGUGUAUGUUGUUAGAGCCAACGGGAACCCCUUCUAUUGGUAAUAUUCGUUUGAAAUUGGGCAAUUAUAAUGGGUUUCAAUGGCAGAUGACAUCUGUGUAGUGAGACCUAGAGAUAUGCAGGCUGGGGCGAGACGUAUGCCAGUGGAAAAGCGAUCGCCUUAUGCGCAGUCUGUCUAUGAUCGAUCCCGUCGUCUGUACCAUUGGUCUAUUUCUGGUUCCAGUCAGUGCACCACGACUGCUAUAUCAAAGGCAGAGGUAAGUGCUAUCUUAUCUGUGUGAUUUGUGCACAUAAAAGAUCCCUUUCUAGUAAUGGAACACUGUAGCGGGUUUCAUUUCUCUCAGACUAUAUUAUAUCACAAUAACCCAAUAGCCGAUGGUUAAUAAAUAAAUGUGUUCUAGUGGUGUUGUUAAACAAAACAAACUUUUUUUUUUUUGAACAGGUGUUCCGGAGAUCGCUGGCUUGACGCCGCACCAGGCGUUACAAAUCAUCCGAGGGUGUCGUGGCCUCAACAUCGUUGGUGCUGACGUCGUGGAGGUGUCGCCUCCAUAUGAUGUAGCUUCUCUGACUUCCAUCAUGGCGGCUAACCUUCUGUUUGAAAUUCUGUGCGUUCUGCCAGGGGUGAAAUAUUACGACUGAUAGCAGAUCUGACUGUUCAUCACCUAUAAACCAACCAUUUUAGCAUUUGUUUUAAAACGCAGGACAUAUUUGUAGACAUAUGCUUAAUACUACAGUAGGGUUAAUCAGUUUGGGCGGGAGUGGACUUUUACCGAUUUUUGGUAGCGUGCGGCGUUUUGUUUAUUUUUCCUGAUUUAAAGUCAAAAUGAAGACAGGGUCGUAGAUUCAAAAAUUUAACCUCCCCCCCAAAAAAAACCCCAACAACUACAACCCCCCAAACCCCCCCCC
This is a long non-coding RNA of Gigantopelta aegis, 963 nucleotides long. RefSeq lists it as uncharacterized. NCBI's taxonomy places the organism in Eukaryota, Metazoa, Mollusca, Gastropoda, Neomphalida, Peltospiridae. The record is from RefSeq and is a predicted model, not a curated record. The transcript has 2 exons.